AGUGAACGCUGGCGGUAGGCCUAACACAUGCAAGUCGAACGGCAGCACAGUAAGAGCUUGCUCUUACGGGUGGCGAGUGGCGGACGGGUGAGGAAUACAUCGGAAUCUACUUUUUCGUGGGGGAUAACGUAGGGAAACUUACGCUAAUACCGCAUACGACCUACGGGUGAAAGCAGGGGAUCUUCGGACCUUGCGCGAUUGAAUGAGCCGAUGUCGGAUUAGCUAGUUGGCGGGGUAAAGGUCCACCAAGGCGACGAUCCGUAGCUGGUCUGAGAGGAUGAUCAGCCACACUGGAACUGAGACACGGUCCAGACUCCUACGGGAGGCAGCAGUGGGGAAUAUUGGACAAUGGGCGCAAGCCUGAUCCAGCCAUACCGCGUGGGUGAAGAAGGCCUUCGGGUUGUAAAGCCCUUUUGUUGGGAAAGAAAGGCAGCAGGUUAAUACCCCGCUGUUCUGACGGUACCCAAAGAAUAAGCACCGGCUAACUUCGUG
Molecule: ribosomal RNA, 492 nt
Filed under: uncultured bacterium
Lineage: Bacteria
Description: partial 16S ribosomal RNA
Rfam family: Bacterial small subunit ribosomal RNA
Source: RNAcentral